UGUUGUGUGACCAAAAAAGAAGAAGAAGAAGAAGAAGAAGAAGAAGAAGAAGAAGAAGAAGAAGAAGAAGAAGAAGAAGAAGAAGAAGAAGACAAUUCCAAGCAUUUAACAGAGAGGAUCAAAGAGAUGGGGCGGGCAUAGUUGCUGCCAUUGUGAUAACAGCCUGACAUUUGCAAGCAGCCAAAAUGGCAAUGCCAAGACGAUGUAGACCCUCCUCUGGGAAAGGGAACAUACAUGUGCACAGCUGCAGUCAAGAUGGUGAGAGCCAGUUCUCCUCAACAACCUCCUGCAGGCCAAGCAUGAAAAAAUAUUCGCAGCAGGCCUGGAAACAAUAAGAGUACAGGAACUGCCAUCCAUGGAUUUGCCACUCUGCAAAGCACAGUCUAUGAUCCAGUAGAUGAAGUGGUUUCAGCAGGACUGGGUCCGCUUCCUGCUGCUUCGGGACAAAUCAGAGGGCAGCUGCAGAUGUAAUUACUUUCCAAUCUACUGGCAGUGCAAAGCAUGGUGGCCACUAGGCCUUUGGAGGACUUUCCGUGUUUGCAGUUCCCAGUUUCAACAAUGGACACCUCACUGGGCUUAAUUGUGUGUUUCCUGGGUUUGCAGACCAAAACAAAUCUUCUGAUCAUGUGCUGCUACUGGAGUAGGAGCUCUCUUACUCUCCAAGCUACCCCCAAAUGUUUGUGUGAACAGACCUAAUGUCUUUUAUAGGAUUGCUGUUGUAAU
Molecule: long non-coding RNA, 723 nt
Organism: Hemicordylus capensis (graceful crag lizard)
Lineage: Eukaryota; Metazoa; Chordata; Lepidosauria; Squamata; Cordylidae
Exons: 3
Source: RefSeq, a predicted model, not a curated record